RNAcentral lists this transfer RNA (77 nucleotides) under Corynebacterium sp. RNAcentral's name for it is "tRNA-Arg". It matches the Rfam family "tRNA". From Rfam's summary of the family: Transfer RNA (tRNA) molecules are approximately 80 nucleotides in length. Their secondary structure includes four short double-helical elements and three loops (D, anti-codon, and T loops). Further hydrogen bonds mediate the characteristic L-shaped molecular structure. tRNAs have two regions of fundamental functional importance: the anti-codon, which is responsible for specific mRNA codon recognition, and the 3' end, to which the tRNAs corresponding amino acid is attached (by aminoacyl-tRNA synthetases). tRNAs cope with the degeneracy of the genetic code in two manners: having more than one tRNA (with a specific anti-codon) for a particular amino acid; and 'wobble' base-pairing, i.e. permitting non-standard base-pairing at the 3rd anti-codon position. The record is from RNAcentral. Lineage: Bacteria; Bacillati; Actinomycetota; Actinomycetes; Mycobacteriales; Corynebacteriaceae. RNAcentral also lists the same sequence under 7 other names.
GCCCCUGUAGCUCAGUGGAUUAGAGCAUCCGGCUUCUACCCGGAGUGGCGCGGGUUCGAAUCCUGCCAGGGGCACCA